RNAcentral lists this ribosomal RNA (253 nucleotides) under uncultured bacterium. RNAcentral describes it as "partial 16S ribosomal RNA". It matches the Rfam family "Bacterial small subunit ribosomal RNA", at positions 524 to 776 of the family's 1533-position model. The record is from RNAcentral.
GACGUAGGGCGCGAGCGUUGUCCGGAUUUAUUGGGCGUAAAGGGCUCGUAGGCGGUUUGUCGCGUCGGGAGUGAAAACGCCGUGCUUAACACGGCGCUUGCUUUCGAUACGGGCAGACUAGAGGUAUUCAGGGGAGAACGGAAUUCCUGGUGUAGCGGUGAAAUGCGCAGAUAUCAGGAGGAACACCGGUGGCGAAGGCGGUUCUCUGGGAAUGACCUGACGCUGAGGAGCGAAAGUGUGGGGAGCGAACAGG